UACGUAGGGUGCGAGCGUUAAUCGGAAUUACUGGGCGUAAAGCGUGUGCAGGCGGUUUGUUAAGACAGGUGUGAAAUCCCCGGGCUUAACCUGGGAAUUGCGCUUGUUACUGGCAAGCUAGAGUGCGUCAGAGGGAGGUGGAAUUCCACGUGUAGCAGUGAAAUGCGUAGAUAUCAGGAGGAAUACCGAUGGCGAAGGCAGGUCUCUGGGCUGACACUGACGCUCAUGCACGAAAGCGUGGGGAGCAAACAGG
This 253-nucleotide ribosomal RNA is filed under the name uncultured bacterium. Its description in RNAcentral is "partial 16S ribosomal RNA". It matches the Rfam family "Bacterial small subunit ribosomal RNA", at positions 524 to 776 of the family's 1533-position model. The record is from RNAcentral.